Small nucleolar RNA from Tachyglossus aculeatus (Australian echidna), 138 nucleotides. The record is from RefSeq and is a predicted model, not a curated record. Lineage: Eukaryota; Metazoa; Chordata; Mammalia; Monotremata; Tachyglossidae.
CCCCUCUCAGGGUCGCACCUGGAGAGUUUCCAGUCCUCUACCAGUCUCGGCUAUAGGAGGGAGAGUCUAGCAGAGGCCUAUCCGUUCCAUUCCUAGCAUAGGCAGUGACUAGUAAGUGGAAGACAAUCUGCUACGAGU